Molecule: long non-coding RNA, 1283 nt
Filed under: Sus scrofa (pig)
Lineage: Eukaryota; Metazoa; Chordata; Mammalia; Artiodactyla; Suidae
Description: lncRNA (ENSSSCG00025027905.1)
Source: RNAcentral
UGCUGUGGCUGUGGUGUACACUGGCGGCUACAGCUCCGAUUAGAUCCCUAGCCUGGGAACCUCCAUAUGCCAAGGGAACGGCCCUAGAAAAGGCAAAAAGACCAAAAAAAAAAAGCCCAGCUUUAUGUAGACCCAGAGUAAUUUGUUGCAGUUUUUAAGAACAUUGUAAAUAUGGCUCUUUUGAAAAAUAGACUAUCAUGAGGCUUGGUUGGUUCUGGAAUCAUGCAAGAUUGAGUUUGGUUUGGGGACAUUUUACUUCUUUGGUCAUAGAAAUGUUGUCUCCCUAUUUCCUACAAAUAGUGAACUCUGGGUGUCUUCUGGGACAGAGUAGAAAUAGUACCUAUCUCUUAUAAUAGGAAUUGGGGUCUGGAGAUAAUUCAACAUUCAUUGUUAUAAUAUUUUUGUUUUGGUAGCAAAUUUGCUUAAAAUACAUGUAGUUGGUAGCCUGUGGUUUGAUGUCCUUUGAAAUAUACGGUUACUCAUUUGAUCUGGAAUUGAGUGAGAUUUGUAUUAACACUGUCAGCUUGUUGUCAGAGGGCUUUUGGUCUUUUUCUUUCUUCUAUAGUAGUAUGCUCUUGGUAGGUGAAAUUUUUAUGAACAUUUUUAGAUGAAUAGAAAUCGAGAAAACUAUUUAUUAACUAUCUUUAGCCUUUAAUGUAGAAUCUACUUUUUCCCCAUAAAGCUCAUUGUCCUUUUAUUUUAAAAGGUUUAUAAAGAGAGAAGUUAAGAGUGGUCAUAAGUUUUGAAAGCGGAAAGCUGGAACCUGUUUCCUCUUGGUCAUAAGAGUCUCAAAAGUGGGCCUCUAUCAGUGGGUGAGAGUUCAAGUUUAUCUGAAUUUAGAAUAUUAAAUUAUAUUUUAGCCAUAGUAACAUGUUUUUCUUUUAACUUCCUUAAAUCAUAAUUGACUUUAUGUCACCGUGUUAUUUUGUGAGGUGAUCUCUUGUGGCUGCAAAGUUAUUUAUAGUUAACCUUGGAGGUAGCUCAUUCUUAUAAGGGCGCCUUCCACAGCUUAGAGUUUAUUUGCAAAAUAAACCACAUUUUCUCUUGUCUUCUUAAAAUGAUGAAACAGAGUUCCCUUUGUGGCUCAGUGGGUUAGGAACCCAACAUAGAGUCCAUGCAGCUGCAGAUUCAAUUCCUUGCCUCUCUCAGUGGGUUAAUGAUCUGGCGUUGCCAUAAGCUGCCAUGUAGGUUGCAGAUGCUGCUCAGUUCCGGUGUUGUUGUGGCUGUGACAUAGGCCUCAGCUGCAGCUCCUUCGCCUGGGAACUUCCAGGUGCCACAGGUGU